GCAGUUGAACAAUUUGGAGCUUGCUGUCAAUUUGGAGCUUGCAUAUGAAAAUUUUGCAUACCAUGCGCUUGAUGAUAAUUCUCAAAGAAUCUAAAUUAUUUUUUGGAUUGGGGAUUUGAUUUUAAAUUGGCAAGUAAAAAAGCCUUGGAUCCAGUUGCUCCAGUUUAUAAGUACUGCCUUGUAUCAGUAUCUAAGAUAUUAACUUCAACAUGCCAAAAUGAGGCCUUCAAAUAUGUCAGUUUUCCUGCUCAGAUACAUGUUAUGAAGAAAUACAAGGGACAAGACUACUUUUUUGCUUUUCUAGUAACAGUGGGAUGUUCAAUUUUUAUUUUAUAUCUUGUAAUGACUACAUCCUUAGUCUUAGAUCAAGGUCUGAUUUUAUUACUUGAACCAAGCACAUGCAUGUGAAUUAUUUUUUAUGUUGAAAUUAUGUUAGCAUACAACUAUUUUGAGGAAUG
Molecule: long non-coding RNA, 458 nt
Organism: Humulus lupulus (European hop)
Lineage: Eukaryota; Viridiplantae; Streptophyta; Magnoliopsida; Rosales; Cannabaceae
Exons: 4
Source: RefSeq, a predicted model, not a curated record